GCUGGCGGCGUGCCUAACACAUGCAAGUCGAACGAGAAAGUCCCGCAAGGGAUGAGUAAAGUGGCGCACGGGUGAGUAACACGUAGGUAACCUACCUCUAAGACCGGGAUAACCUGUCGAAAGACGGGCUAAUACCAGAUAAGACCACAGUUCCUUCGGGAACAGGGAUCAAAGGUGGCCUCUGCUUGCAAGCUAUCACUUAGAGAUGGGCCUGCGCACCAUUAGCUAGUUGGUAGGGUAACGGCCUACCAAGGCAAAGAUGGUUAGCUGGUCUGAGAGGAUGAUCAGCCACACUGGAACUGAGACACGGUCCAGACUCCUACGGGAGGCAGCAGUGGGGAAUCUUGCGCAAUGGGCGAAAGCUUGACGCAGCAACGCCGCGUGGGUGAUGAAGGCCUUCGGGUCGUAAAGCCCUGUCGGAAGGAACGAAUUCUUCUGGGACG
RNAcentral lists this ribosomal RNA (443 nucleotides) under uncultured delta proteobacterium. Its description in RNAcentral is "bacterial SSU rRNA". It matches the Rfam family "Bacterial small subunit ribosomal RNA", at positions 35 to 462 of the family's 1533-position model. The record is from RNAcentral. Lineage: Bacteria; Deltaproteobacteria.